RNAcentral lists this long non-coding RNA (617 nucleotides) under Prunus persica (peach). Its description in RNAcentral is "long non-coding RNA (PPER_LNC001634)". Lineage: Eukaryota; Viridiplantae; Streptophyta; Magnoliopsida; Rosales; Rosaceae. The record is from RNAcentral.
AUUCAUAACGUAAAGUAAUAAAAGAUAAAUCGAUCAUCAAAGCUUAAAAUACAUUCCUCAAAUCAACUAAAAUCCGAAGAGAAACACAUCAUUGAUGCAAACGAUCAAAAAUCUAAAGUCCAAACUGAACGACAACGACGACGAGGCGAAAUCCUAGUCUUCCUCCACAAUGAAGAAGACGAGUUGCUGGCGUUGUGCAGUACUCAGGAACAACCGGCAAGGUCCUCGGCUAUCAUUUCCACCAAGGCAACUUGUCUAGAGUGAGAUCGAAAUCGAGGUUCCUUUGAUAUCACUAUAAAAUGCCACCAAAAUCUCAAUCUCGUACAUUCAUCCACAAAUCUACAAGCAAAAACAAAAAUAUGAAGAAGAAAGUAUAGGAGAACGAACUUGAAGUGAUCAAGAUGGUCCGAUUUGGCGAGCUGAGACUUCUUUAUACAACUAUGUCUAAAAUUAAAUAUAUAACUAAAUUUGUAUAACAAUUUCAACACAAUUAUCCUUCCAUGAAAGGACUCCUAAAUGACAUAUAGACUAUAGUUCAACAAAUGGCUCUAAAAGAAACGCUCUUGAGUAAAUAAAGGUCAAGAAAGGUAGCAUCCUGAUUUUAGUCAGUGUUAUCC